Malus domestica (apple) is the source of this 103-nucleotide small nuclear RNA. NCBI's taxonomy places the organism in Eukaryota, Viridiplantae, Streptophyta, Magnoliopsida, Rosales, Rosaceae. The record is from RefSeq and is a predicted model, not a curated record.
GAUUCAUUCAGAAACUUCGAUAAAAUUCAAAUGAUACGGAGAAGAUUAACAUGAUCCCUGCGUAAUAAAGAUGUGCAUAAAUCAAGAAAUUGUUCAAAUUUUU